This is a long non-coding RNA of Hippocampus zosterae (dwarf seahorse), 791 nucleotides long. RefSeq lists it as uncharacterized. Lineage: Eukaryota; Metazoa; Chordata; Actinopteri; Syngnathiformes; Syngnathidae. The transcript is spliced from 3 exons. The record is from RefSeq and is a predicted model, not a curated record.
GUUUAAAAAAAAAGCAUCGCGGUUUGUUUCAGUCGGAAAUCACCCACUUCGUCGUCAGCAUAACCCCAAUGCCUUUGGGGCCGCCUACUCCCACGAGUCAUGAAAGAAGGAAGCGAUAAAAGAUGCAUCCAGCAGCAAGCACUUGCCGCCCUCAAGCUACCUGCAAUUCACCUUGUCUGCCAUUUAUCAAGCCUUCCGUUCCGUGGCAGAAGAGGGCCUUCCCUUCAGUGUGCACACCUGCUGCCAAUUUGGUCAUCAAGUUAGCAAAGUAGAGAAGGACUGCCAAGAUCCCUUGUCUGUCGGACUAUUGACCUUGUUUGCUGCUCUGGCUCAAAUGUUAUUUUCUAGACGUCUCGAACUAGUCAUUGACGUUUUUUGCUCUGUAGUCUCUCGUCUGGUAUUCAUAUUUUUUGUUGUUUGAUCUUGCUCUGUUUUUGUUUCGUGCAAUUGCACUCUAGCCAUUUUGUUUAUAUCCUCGAAUGAACAAUUUCCCUGCCUCUGCAAGUGUUCUUUCUUUAAGUGUGUUUUUUCCUGAUUCUCGUUAACCAACGAUUUCUGUUUCUACAUUGUCGCUACGUUUUUGUGUUUUUGUUAUUAAAUAAAUAUUUUUCGUAAGGAUUAUAUUUGUGUCUACGUUUGUGGGAUCCGAUCACCAUUCAGUUCCUUCCGAGCUGUGUCAAUAAUAUAUAAUCAAAUGUCGUUUGAUAAAAUUUGUUAUUUCACAAGUGCGUAUCAAACUGCAUUAGUUUGUGUCCAAGAAGUAGCUCCUCAUUUGAAAAGGGUUGAUGACC